UCUUAAAAAUAAAUUGAGUAUUAUAGUUUUAUAUUACUUAAUAAAAAUUUUGGCCUUUUCCAACACAAAGUUGUUUUGAUUGAAAAAUAGGUAUCUGGGUCACAUUACUUAUUUCGCAUUCUGAAAUUGCCCCGAUGCCGACAGUCGAAGAGAAAUGACAUAAUCGAUACGCGUUACUAUUUUUCUCAAGAUGUUAAAUCAGAAAAAUUUUAAUUUUAAAUCAGCAAAAUUAUAGCUUUUUUUGUCAUUUAUGCAACAAUACAGAAUAAACAUUAAAAUGACUGAAAAAAAAUUGCUAGAUCCUGAAUACGAGUGGAUUAUUCGAACCUGCACAAAUGCCUUCAACGUAUAUCUAACGAUGAUGCAUUUUAUAUUUUACGACAACACUUUGAGUUUGCAACCAGAAAACUCUGAUAUUUCGCUCCUAUCGUACACGGUGUUAAUGGCGGCGUUGGAUCUUUUCGCGUACUGUGUUUAUCAGUAAAUCAAUAAAUUAGAUUACAAGCACUAGCAACAAUGCGAUUCGCGUCGUAGAAGAAAAUAAAAAUCUGACUUUAUAUAGGAUAUAAUUGAGGAUAUAAAUAUGAUUUUUGUAAAAAAUAUUCAAAACUUAUAUUUUAAGUCGUCUUAGUGAAAAUUCUCAAUGCGGAAUUGUACAAGACGUUUUUUUCAUAAUCGUACUCUAAGUAUCAUAAAGGAUAAAAUAUGAAAAGGAAAGGGAAGGUAAGGUAUACGGUAUAUAAUACAGUACUAAUCAUCUUUAUGUGUUCCAAAAAUAUUCUAGUUGUCUCUCGCUCUCUCGCUCUCUCACGUACUCAUCGUCUCGCUAGACAUCUCUUUCUCACACAACGUCCUCUCGCACUUUCUUUCUCUUCGCACUAUCUAAUGUAUCUAUUGUUCAGUCAAGCCACAUACAAAGCCACACAAAUCUGCAAGUUGAGAAAGCAACGGAUGCUUGCAUGUACCUUCUUGAGCUAAUCUAGUGAUAAUCGCACUCCCUCCUCCAACACUAUGAAGCAUUGAAGUUACAUUUUAUUGUGAUGUUACGACAAAAAAAGAUUCGGCGCAAAGAUAAUGUACAGUGGAAGUGUUACGACCUUUUGUUCCUACCAAAUGAUGCGCGUAUCCAGUACCGCAGUUUCGCAUUCUAAUUUGUUCUGUGCAAUCGCCAAUCCGUAUAUAAUUAUAAUUAUUAUCUAUAGCAGAUCGCCAUCUGUUAUAAUCAUAAUUAUCAUAUCAUGGAAGGCAAUAAAGCAAUUUCAAGAAAUUAAUAGAUAUACCGAAUUAAUCGUUUUCUUUUCGUUUAAGUUCAUAUAUAUUGCGAUGAGAAAUGACAACCAAAAUACAAGAAUGAACAGUACAUAAGACAUCUUUUUUCUCGCUCUGUGACGCAGGGUGAUUAAAAAGUAAUUAAAGAAAAUGCAAAGCGUAAGUUUACGAAUAUCAAUAAUACAUUCGUUUCUACUGCGACGUUAUUUUUAAAAAAGAAAGCAUUUAAUGCUUACAUUUAUGAUUAAAAUAAAAUGUUAUAUAUGUAGCCAAAAGUAAAUGUCACCAAAUCGCCAAAAUUACAGAUGGCUCGUCGAAUAAAUGAAAAUAAAAUUGUUGGAUAACACCCAAUUCACGGAGCGACUGGACGCUGCACUCAUUUAUUUACAUAAAUACUUAUUACGAUAUACAUAUACCGAACAAAUAACGAACGGAGAGCAAAUAUAAUUUUUAUUACCCUUGAAAACAUAUAUGCUUAGUAAAUAUAAACAAAAUUUAAUUCACAUUUAAUUCUAUUACAAAAUUGAUAGACAUUUUAAUUUCAACUUUGCGCUCGCUGUUCGCUCGUUGUUCAUUUGUCAAGUAUAUCCACAUCUCUUUUGAGUACUCUAGAAUUUUAUAAUUUAUAUACUUAUACUGUACACAUACAACCGAAAUUCUACCGCUAGCGAAUUUAUAAUGUAUGUACAUAAUUUGGCGGUUUUUGUUUGAAAAUAUUUUAAAAAUCCUUACACACGACAUACACAGUAUGAUCGCUAUAAACCUAUAUUCGACAUCUGCAUGCAUUUUAAUUUGCAUUCUUAUCGCCAAUAGCGACGGGUUCAUACAAGUGGAAGAAAUUUCUGUCAGCCUUCGCUACAACGUUCGUACAAAACAAAACGUAAAUAUAUAAAUAUAUCGAGAGUUCCGUCCAUUAUCCUUCGCAAAACUAACCGAUCAUCACUAUAUCUUUCCUAGAAAAAAAAAA
This is a long non-coding RNA of Monomorium pharaonis (pharaoh ant), 2236 nucleotides long. RefSeq lists it as uncharacterized. The transcript is spliced from 2 exons. The record is from RefSeq and is a predicted model, not a curated record. NCBI's taxonomy places the organism in Eukaryota, Metazoa, Arthropoda, Insecta, Hymenoptera, Formicidae.